This 344-nucleotide long non-coding RNA is filed under the name Manacus vitellinus (golden-collared manakin). RNAcentral's name for it is "lncRNA (ENSMVIG00005010544.1)". Lineage: Eukaryota; Metazoa; Chordata; Aves; Passeriformes; Pipridae. The record is from RNAcentral.
CCCGUGCUAGGCCGGUCUCGGGGCCCCUGGGGGGCCGGGGGGAGGGCGCGGCACCGCCGCCUCCCUCCGCGAUCUGGAAAAAACACGUCACAGCUUUUGUUCUCAUCGGAAAAGCAGGGCUUGGCCGCAACGAGAACACUUCAGAGGAAGUGUCUGGUUUCUUUGUGUUUUGGGUUUUCUUGCCUUUUUUUUUUUUUUUUUUUUUUUUUUUUUUUUUUUUGCGUAUUUAUACACAUUUAUCAACAGUCAACAAAAAAGGCGGCAAGUUACACAUCCAUUCUGUAUGCUAAGGAUGAUGCGUAUACAUAUAGCCACAUAACAGAGUAGAUGACCUGAAGGAGCUA